UACGUAGGGUGCGAGCGUUAAUCGGAAUUACUGGGCGUAAAGCGUGCGCAGGCGGUUCGCCAAGUCAGGUGUGAAAUCCCCGGGCUUAACCUGGGAAUUGCGCUUGAAACUAGCGGGCUUGAGUGUGACAGAGGGGGGUGGAAUUCCACGUGUAGCAGUGAAAUGCGUAGAGAUGUGGAGGAACACCGAUGGCGAAGGCAGCCCCCUGGGUCAACACUGACGCUCAUGCACGAAAGCGUGGGGAGCAAACAGG
This 253-nucleotide ribosomal RNA is filed under the name uncultured bacterium. RNAcentral describes it as "partial 16S ribosomal RNA". It matches the Rfam family "Bacterial small subunit ribosomal RNA", at positions 524 to 776 of the family's 1533-position model. The record is from RNAcentral.